Molecule: long non-coding RNA, 205 nt
Filed under: Elaeis guineensis (African oil palm)
Lineage: Eukaryota; Viridiplantae; Streptophyta; Magnoliopsida; Arecales; Arecaceae
Description: long non-coding RNA (EGUI_LNC075981)
Source: RNAcentral
GGGGUGAUGUACUGGACGGAUAGUGCCUCUGUCAUGAGGUCCCCGAUGGUUGGUGAGCCCAUGCUGAUGGGCCUGAGGAUAGUCGAGCAGGAGGAGGGCCUUCGCAGCUCCGCCUCCUUCUUUUUCGAAACAAGGGUUCAUCCCUAUUUCAGAUUAUUUUUUUGAUUUUAACACAAGAAGUCGACAACCCAAUUACUGUCUUCAC